GGCCCAUAGCUCGGUGGUAGAACAUCUGCUUUAAAUGCAGAAAAUCCAGGUUCAAUGCCCAGAAUCUCCAGGUAGGGCUG
Molecule: non-coding RNA, 80 nt
Organism: Podarcis lilfordi (Lilford's wall lizard)
Lineage: Eukaryota; Metazoa; Chordata; Lepidosauria; Squamata; Lacertidae
Source: the annotation of a GenBank genome assembly